Molecule: ribosomal RNA, 498 nt
Filed under: uncultured bacterium
Lineage: Bacteria
Description: partial 16S ribosomal RNA
Rfam family: Bacterial small subunit ribosomal RNA
Source: RNAcentral
AUUGAACGCUGGCGGUAUGCUUUACACAUGCAAGUCGAACGGUAACAGGCCGCAAGGUGCUGACGAGUGGCGAACGGGUGAGUAAUGCAUCGGAACGUGCCCAGUCGUGGGGGAUAACGCAGCGAAAGCUGCGCUAAUACCGCAUACGAUCGCGGGAUGAAAGCGGGGGACCGAAAGGCCUCGCGCGAUUGGACCGGCCGAUGUCAGAUUAGGUAGUUGGUGGGGUAAAGGCCCACAAAGCCAACGAUCUGUAGCUGGUCUGAGAGGACGACCAGCCACACUGGAACUGAGACACGGCCCAGACUCCUACGGGAGGCAGCAGUGGGGAAUUUUGGACAAUGGGCGCAAGCCUGAUCCAGCAAUGCCGCGUGCAGGAAGAAGGCCUUCGGGUUGUAAACUGCUUUUGUACGGAACGAAACGGUCCGGGCUAAUACCCUGGGCUAAUGACGGUACCGUAAGAAUAAGCACCGGCUAACUACGUGCCAGCCGCCGCAGUAA